CCUACGGGUGUCAGCAGUGGGGAAUAUUGGACAAUGGGGGAAACCCUGAUCCAGCCAUGCCGCGUGAGUGAUGAAGGCCCUAGGGUUGUAAAGCUCUUUUGUGCGGGAAGAUAAUGACGGUACCGCAAGAAUAAGCCCCGGCUAACUUCGUGCCAGCAGCCGCGGUAAUACGAAGGGGGCUAGCGUUGCUCGGAAUCACUGGGCGUAAAGGGUGCGUAGGCGGAUCUUUAAGUCAGAGGUGAAAGCCUGGAGCUCAACUCCAGAACUGCCUUUGAUACUGGGGAUCUUGAGUUCGGGAGUGGUGAGUGGAACUGCGAGUGUAGAGGUGAAAUUCGUAGAUAUUCGCAAGAACACCAGUGGCGAAGGCGGCUCACUGGCCCGAUACUGACGCUGAGGCACGAAAGCGUGGGGAGCAAACAGGAUUAGAUACCCCAGUAGUC
Molecule: ribosomal RNA, 440 nt
Filed under: uncultured bacterium
Lineage: Bacteria
Description: partial 16S ribosomal RNA
Rfam family: Bacterial small subunit ribosomal RNA
Source: RNAcentral